Molecule: ribosomal RNA, 253 nt
Filed under: uncultured bacterium
Lineage: Bacteria
Description: partial 16S ribosomal RNA
Rfam family: Bacterial small subunit ribosomal RNA
Source: RNAcentral
UACAGAGGUGCCGAGCGUUAGGCGGAAUCACUGGGCUUAAAGCGUGUGUAGGCGGAUCGUUAAGUACCUUGUGAAAUCCCACGGCUUAACCGUGGAACUGCUGGGUAUACUGGCGAUCUUGAGGUGCUCAGGGGCGAGCGGAACAGAUGGUGGAGCGGUGAAAUGCGUAGAUAUCAUCUGGAACGCCUGCGGUGAAAACGGCUCGCUGGGAGCAAUCUGACGCUGAGACACGAAAGCCAGGGGAGCGAACGGG